GAGCAGCAGAAGAUUAUGCAUAUUAAAACAGAUAUGUCACAAAAAUGUUAGAACACGUCUGGACUGUUCUGGUGUAAAAUAAUAAAAAGGAAAAAUGUUAGGAGUUCAAAGUGUAGCUUGAACAAUACUGAACUGGUUUAAAAAAUAAAGCAUUGAAGCAUAUUUUGGUCUUCUGGAACCCUAGUGUAAUGUCGGUGUUAGUAAAUGAGCCAGACACAGAAAUCAUGUAGUGAGCAUGUUGGGUUCAAAUACAAUACGUCUUUAUGACCUCCAAGACAAGGUCACCAUCCAAGGAGAGCUUUUCAAUUUGUAGAAAGAAAAGCUUAUACAAUUGCUUCAACAAUGUACCUUUUAUCAACUCCAAUACAGGCCAGCUGAGUAACAGUUUCCUUAGCUAAAGGCCAUCAAUCUGACAUCUCUGGUAAUUUUUUUCAAAGUUUUUAUAAUCUUGCUCUUGCAGCUUUUGCUUUUGACAUAUAGUGAAAAGUUUAAAAGUGACAGGGUAACCACAUUGUCUAAUCAGAUUUAAAAAAUUUUUUCCCAUUACCCCACAUGAAAAAGGAUUAAGGUCUACAUUUUCCUGCCCAGGUCUAACCCAUGUAUGGUCAGCCCAUGCUUAUGUCAUGUGGGUUCAAUGUGGUCAGCCCACAUGGGCUUCCCAUGUUGGGCCCUUGAUAAUGAAACUGCAUGGGCCCCACUUAGUGUUGCCCAUUUCUGUCCCAUCCCCAGUUAGCCCACAUAAAAAAGGAAUGGGGCCUACAUACGCAUGCCCAGGUCCAACCCAUGUACGGUCAGCCCAUACUUAUCUCAUGUGGGUUCAAUGUGGUCAGCCCACAUGGGCUUCCCAUGUUGGGCCCAUGAUACUGAAACUACAUGGGCCCCACAUAGUGUUGCCCACUUCUGCCCCAUCCCCAGUUAGCCCACAUAAAAAAGGAAUGGGGCCUACAUACGCAUGCCCAGGUCCAACCCAUGUACGGUCAGCCCAUACUUAUCUCAUGUGGGUUCAAUGUGGUCAGCCCACAUGGGCUUCCCAUGUUGGGCCCGUGAUACUGAAACUACAUGGGCCCCACAUAGUGUUGCCCACUUCUGCCCCAUUCACAGUUAGCCCACAU
This is a long non-coding RNA of Poecilia latipinna (sailfin molly), 1112 nucleotides long. RefSeq lists it as uncharacterized. The transcript has 2 exons. NCBI's taxonomy places the organism in Eukaryota, Metazoa, Chordata, Actinopteri, Cyprinodontiformes, Poeciliidae. The record is from RefSeq and is a predicted model, not a curated record.